GGGGCGUACUGUUCUCGGCAUAUCGCCCCGUAAACGCUCGCACGCCGGUUCUUUAGUUCUGAUGUCUUUUCUAGCCGCUCCCCUUAGGAGUGACUAUGGAUUCGUGGAUGACUUGAAUGCAGGAGACGAUAAUGGAAUUCCACGUGUAGCGGUGAAAUGCGUAGAGAUGUGGAGGAACACCAGUGGCGAAGGCGACUCUCUGGUCUGUAACUGACGCUGAGGAGCGAAAGCGUGGGGAGCGAACAGGAUUAGAUACCCUGGUAGUCCACGCCGUAAACGAUGAGUGCUAGGUGUUAGGGGGUUUCCGCCCCUUAGUGCUGAAGUUAACGCAUUAAGCACUCCGCCUGGGGAGUACGGCCGCAAGGCUGAAACUCAAAAGAAUUGACGGGGACCCGCACAAGCGGUGGAGCAUGUGGUUUAAUUCGAAGCAACGCGAAGAACCUUACCAGGUCUUGACAUCCUUUGACCGCUCUAGAGAUAGAGUUUUCCCUUCGGGGACAAAGUGACAGGUGGUGCAUGGUUGUCGUCAGCUCGUGUCGUGAGAUGUUGGGUUAAGUCCCGCAACGAGCGCAACCCUUAAUCUUAGUUGCCAGCAUUCAGUUGGGCACUCUAAGGUGACUGCCGGUGACAAACCGGAGGAAGGUGGGGAUGACGUCAAAUCAUCAUGCCCCUUAUGACCUGGGCUACACACGUGCUACAAUGGACGGAACAAAGGGAAGCGAACCCGCGAGGUCCAGCAAAUCCCAUAAAACCGUUCUCAGUUCGGAUUGCAGGCUGCAACUCGCCUGCAUGAAGCCGGAAUCGCUAGUAAUCGCGGAUCAGCAUGCCGCGGGUGAAUACGUUCCCCGGGUCUUGUACACACCGCCCGUCACACCACGAGAGUUCGUAACACCCGAAGUCGGUGAGGUACCUUUUGGAGCAGCCGCCGAAGUGGGACAAUGAUUGGGUGAAUCUAAGGGGGGACCCGAAAAACGGGAAGUUUAGAACCG
RNAcentral lists this ribosomal RNA (989 nucleotides) under Oceanobacillus sp. GSP73. Its description in RNAcentral is "bacterial SSU rRNA". It matches the Rfam family "Bacterial small subunit ribosomal RNA", at positions 531 to 1530 of the family's 1533-position model. The record is from RNAcentral. Lineage: Bacteria; Bacillati; Bacillota; Bacilli; Caryophanales; Bacillaceae.